Molecule: ribosomal RNA, 250 nt
Filed under: uncultured bacterium
Lineage: Bacteria
Description: partial 16S ribosomal RNA
Rfam family: Bacterial small subunit ribosomal RNA
Source: RNAcentral
UACGUAGGGGGCGAGCGUUGUCCGAAUUUAUUGGGCGUAAAGCGCGUGUAGGCGGCUCUUUAAGUCAGAUGUGAAAUCCUGCGGCUCAACCGCAGAACUGCAUUUGAUACUGGAGAGCUUGAGUGUGGGAGAGGAAAGUGGAAUUCCUGGUGUAGCGGUGAAAUGCGUAGAUAUCAGGAGGAACACCCGUGGCGAAGGCGGCUUUCUGGCCCACCACUGACGCUGAGACGCGAAAGCUAGGGGAGCGAAC